Miniopterus natalensis is the source of this 451-nucleotide non-coding RNA. The record is from RefSeq and is a predicted model, not a curated record. Lineage: Eukaryota; Metazoa; Chordata; Mammalia; Chiroptera; Miniopteridae.
CGCGCCCGGCCUCCCGCCCGCUCGCCGCCCGCUCGGCGCUCCUCCGCCCCGAGCUCUCCAGCCCCUGGAUCCCGGGCUCGCGGGGGUGCGGAGAAGAGGACCCUGGAAAGAGACAACCCAGGCCUGUCCCUACAGUGACCGUGCGGGAAGACGCGAGCCUCUGCUGAUGUCUGCUCCUCAUGGACCUGGCGUGGCUAUGAUUCAUUUUCCCGCCAUUGACUCAUUGGACCUCCAUUAAAUAGGACCGAAAGCAAUUAAUCAGGGGCAGAACGCCUGAGAAUCCCAUUCAUAAAUAAUCCUUUCCUUACUGCCCCCCAACCCCCAGCACGGGUGUACGAGGGGAGAUUUACAAGCCCAGAAGCCUGGAGGCCACACUCGCAGAAAAGCGUGUGUAUCCAACCCUCUGACUUCGCGUGUGGGAUUAAAUGGCCGGAUCAAUAUAUUUCCAUAA